CCUGGAAGCUCAGAUGGUAAAGCAUCUGCCUUCAAUGCAGGAUACCUGGGUUCAAUCCCUGGGUCAGGA
This 69-nucleotide transfer RNA is filed under the name Ovis aries (sheep). It matches the Rfam family "tRNA". From Rfam's summary of the family: Transfer RNA (tRNA) molecules are approximately 80 nucleotides in length. The record is from Rfam by way of RNAcentral. Lineage: Eukaryota; Metazoa; Chordata; Mammalia; Artiodactyla; Bovidae.